Molecule: ribosomal RNA, 1881 nt
Filed under: human gut metagenome
Description: bacterial LSU rRNA
Rfam family: Bacterial large subunit ribosomal RNA
Source: RNAcentral
GUUAUUAAGGGUGCAGGGCGGAUGCCUUGGCACUAGGAGCCGAUGAAGGACGUGACUAACGACGAAAUGCUUUGGGGAGCUGUAAGUGAGCAAUGAUCCAGAGAUGUCCGAAUGGGGGAACCCGGCAGGUAAUGCCUGUCACUCAUUACUGUUAAGGUAAUGUAGAGGAAGACGCAGUGAACUGAAACAUCUAAGUAGCUGCAGGAAGAGAAAGCAAACGCGAUUGCCUUAGUAGCGGCGAGCGAAACGGCAAGAGGGCAAACCGAAGAGUUUACUCUUCGGGGUUGUAGGACUGCAACGUGGACUUAAAGAUUAUAGAAGAACUACCUGGGAAGGUAGGCCAAAGAGAGUAAUAGCCUCGUAUUCGAAAUAGUCUUUAUACCUAGCAGUAUCCUGAGUACGGCGAGACACGAGAAAUCUCGUCGGAAUCUGGGAGGACCAUCUCCCAACCCUAAAUACUCUCUAGUGACCGAUAGUGAACCAGUACCGUGAGGGAAAGGUGAAAAGCACCCCGGGAGGGGAGUGAAAUAGAACCUGAAACCGUGUGCCUACAACAAGUUCGAGCCCGUUAAUGGGUGAGAGCGUGCCUUUUGUAGAAUGAACCGGCGAGUUACGUUAUGAUGCGAGGUUAAGUUGAAGAGACGGAGCCGUAGGGAAACCGAGUCUUAAUAGGGCGCAUUAGUAUCAUGUCGUAGACCCGAAACCAUGUGACCUACCCAUGAGCAGGUUGAAGGUGAGGUAAAACUCACUGGAGGACCGAACCAGGGCACGUUGAAAAGUGCUUGGAUGACUUGUGGGUAGCGGAGAAAUUCCAAACGAACUUGGAGAUAGCUGGUUCUCUCCGAAAUAGCUUUAGGGCUAGCGUCGACAUUAGAGAUUCUUGGAGGUAGAGCACUGUUUGGGUGAGGGGUCCAUCCCGGAUUACCAAUCUCAGAUAAACUCCGAAUGCCAACGAGAUAUAAUCGGCAGUCAGACUGCGAGUGCUAAGAUCCGUAGUCGAAAGGGAAACAGCCCAGACCGCCAGCUAAGGUCCCAAAGUAUACGUUAAGUGGAAAAGGAUGUGGAGUUGCUUAGACAACCAGGAUGUUGGCUUAGAAGCAGCCACUCAUUAAAAGAGUGCGUAAUAGCUCACUGGUCGAGUGACUCUGCGCCGAAAAUUUAACGGGGCUAAACUAUACACCGAAGCUUGGGAUACAUCUAAUGUAUGGUAGGAGAGCGUUCUGUAUGGGGAGAAGUCGUAGCGAAAGCGGCGGUGGACUGUACAGAAGUGAGAAUGCCGGAAUAAGUAGCGAGAAUUAAGUGAGAAUCUUAAUGGCCGAAAGUCUAAGGUUUUUGGAGGAAGGUUCGUCCGCUCCAAGUAAGUCGGGAGCUAAGGUCAGGCCGAAAGGCGUAGCCGAUGCACAUACGGUUGAUAUUCCGUAACCAUCUGUAAUUUAAGCAAAGGGACACUUCAAAAGGGUGUGACCCGGGCGUUGGUUGACCCGGGCGUAAGGGACCGAAAUUAGAGUAGGGAAGCACACUUGGCUGAAGGCGAGAAAAGCUUUGCGUAUAGAAGCAGAUGCCCGUACCGCAAACCGACACAGGUGGACAGGAAGAGAAUUCUAAGGCCAGCGGGAGAAGGGUAGUUAAGGAACUCGGCAAAUUGACUCCGUAACUUCGGAAUAAGGAGUGCUCGAAAGAGCCGCAGAGAAUAGGCCCAGGCGACUGUUUAGCAAAAACACAGGUCUCUGCCAAAUCGAAAGAUGAAGUAUAGGGGCUGACACCUGCCCGGUGCCGGAAGGUUAAGAGGAGGAGUGAGAGCUCCGAAUUGAAGCCCCGGUAAACGGCGGCCGUAACUAUAACGGUCCUAAGGUAGCGAAAUUCCUUGUCGGGUAAGUUCCG